RNAcentral lists this ribosomal RNA (496 nucleotides) under uncultured bacterium. RNAcentral's name for it is "partial 16S ribosomal RNA". It matches the Rfam family "Bacterial small subunit ribosomal RNA", at positions 28 to 507 of the family's 1533-position model. The record is from RNAcentral.
GAUGAACGCUGGCGGCGUGCCUAAUACAUGCAAGUCGAGCGAACGGACGAGAAGCUUGCUUUUCUGAUGUUAGCGGCGGACGGGUGAGUAACACGUGGAUAACCUACCUAUAAGACUGGGAUAACUUCGGGAAACCGGAGCUAAUACCGAUAAUAUUUUGAACCGCAUGGUUCAAAAGUGAAAGACGGUCUUGCUGUCACUUAUAGAUGGAUCCGCGCUGCAUUAGCUAGUUGGUAAGGUAACGGCUUACCAAGGCAACGAUGCAUAGCCGACCCGAGAGGGUGAUCGGCCACACUGGAACUGAGACACGGUCCAGACUCCUACGGGAGGCAGCAGUAGGGAAUCUUCCGCAAUGGGCGAAAGCCUGACGGAGCAACGCCGCGUGAGUGAUGAAGGUCUUCGGAUCGUAAAACUCUGUUAUUAGGGAAGAACAUAUGUGUAAGUAACUGUGCACAUCUUGACGGUACCUAAUCAGAAAGCCACGGCUAACUACGUG